This 440-nucleotide long non-coding RNA is filed under the name Physcomitrium patens. RNAcentral's name for it is "long non-coding RNA (PPAT_LNC005513)". Lineage: Eukaryota; Viridiplantae; Streptophyta; Bryopsida; Funariales; Funariaceae. The record is from RNAcentral.
GAGGGCGUCGACGGGGGGGACAGCACAGCAGGGGGAGGACCUCUAACUGCAGAAGGAGGACUUAGGCCGGGAGGCGAAGGAUUUGUUCCUGUUGGAGGAGGUGGAGCCGGAGGAGAAUCAGUUGGUGGGGUUGGGGCAGGUGGAGAAUUUGUUGGUGUGGGUGGAGGUGGAGCCACUGCCGUAGGGGGAGGAACAUCUGGAGUAACUGGAACUGGAGGAGUUGCCGCUGGAGGGGUAGGGUCUGGUGGAGGAGGUACCACAGCAGGAGGAAUGGCAGGGGGAGGGGAAAUUACAGGCGCUGGAGGAGGAGGAGGAAGUUCGACAGGAGGUGGUGCAAUAACGGGUGGAGGAACAAUUGCAGGAGGAGGGGAAACUACAGGUGGAGUCGCUGCAACGGGUGGAACCACAGCAACCGGAGGAGUAGUAGAAUUGACCGGAGG